This 587-nucleotide ribosomal RNA is filed under the name uncultured bacterium. Its description in RNAcentral is "partial 16S ribosomal RNA". It matches the Rfam family "Bacterial small subunit ribosomal RNA", at positions 355 to 1375 of the family's 1533-position model. The record is from RNAcentral.
UGGGGAAUUUUGGACAAUGGGCGAAAGCCUGAUCCAGCAAUGCCGCGUGUGUGAAGAAGGCCUUCGGGUUGUAAAGCACUUUUGUCCGGAAAGAAAUCCUUGGCUCUAAUACAGUCGGGGGAUGACGGUACCGGAAGAAUAAGCACCGGCUAACUACGUGCCAGCAGCCGCGGUAAUACGUAGGGUGCAAGCGUUAAUCGGAAUUACUGGGCGUAAAGCGUGCGCAGGCGGUUUGCUAAGACCGAUGUGAAAUCCCCGGGCUCAACCUGGGAACUGCAUUGGUGACUGGCAGGCUAGAGUAUGGCAGAGGGGGGUAGAAUUCCACGUGUAGCAGUGAAAUGCGUAGAGAUGUGGAGGAAUACCGAUGGCGAAGGCAGCCCCUGGGCCAAUACUGACGCUCAUGCACGAAAGCGUGGGGAGCAAAACAGGAUUAGAUACCCUGGUAGUCCACGCCCUAAACGAUGUCAACUAGUUGUUGGGGAUUCAUUUCCUUAGUAACGUAGCUAACGCGUGAAGUUGACCGCCUGGGGAGUACGGUCGCAAAGAUUAAAACUCAAAUUGAAUUGACGGGGUCAUAGCUGUUUCCU